GGGUUGUGAGGUUAAGCGACUAAGCGUACACGGUGGAUGCCCUGGCAGUCAGAGGCGAUGAAGGACGUGCUAAUCUGCGAAAAGCGUCGGUAAGGUGAUAUGAACCGUUAUAACCGGCGAUGUCCGAAUGGGGAAACCCAGUGCAAUUCGUUGCACUAUCGUUAACUGAAUACAUAGGUUAACGAGGCGAACCGGGGGAACUGAAACAUCUAAGUACCCCGAGGAAAAGAAAUCAACCGAGAUUCCCCCAGUAGCGGCGAGCGAACGGGGAGCAGCCCAGAGUCUGAAUCAGCUUGUGUGUUAGUGGAACGGUCUGGAAAGUCCGACGGUACAGGGUGAUAGUCCCGUACACCAAAAUGCACAGGCUGUGAACUCGAAGAGUAGGGCGGGACACGUGGUAUCCUGUCUGAAUAUGGGGGGACCAUCCUCCAAGGCUAAAUACUCCUGACUGACCGAUAGUGAACCAGUACCGUGAGGGAAAGGCGAAAAGAACCCCGGCGAGGGGAGUGAAAAAGAACCUGAAACCGUGUACGUACAAGCAGUGGGAGCACCUUCGGGUGUGACUGCGUACCUUUUGUAUAAUGGGUCAGCGACUUAUAUUCUGUAGCAAGGUUAACCGUAUAGGGGAGCCGCAGGGAAACCGAGUCUUAACUGGGCGUUAAGUUGCAGGGUAUAGACCCGAAACCCGGUGAUCUAGCCAUGGGCAGGUUGAAGGUUGGGUAACACUAACUGGAGGACCGAACCGACUAAUGUUGAAAAAUUAGCGGAUGACUUGUGGCUGGGGGUGAAAGGCCAAUCAAACCGGGAGAUAGCUGGUUCUCCCCGAAAGCUAUUUAGGUAGCGCCUCGUGAACUCAUCUUCGGGGGUAGAGCACUGUUUCGGCUAGGGGGUCAUCCCGACUUACCAACCCGAUGCAAACUACGAAUACCGAAGAAUGUUAUCACGGGAGACACACGGCGGGUGCUAACGUCCGUCGUGAAGAGGGAAACAACCCAGACCGCCAGCUAAGGUCCCAAAGUCAUGGUUAAGUGGGAAACGAUGUGGGAAGGCACAGACAGCCAGGAUGUUGGCUUAGAAGCAGCCAUCAUUUAAAGAAAGCGUAAUAGCUCACUGGUCGAGUCGGCCUGCGCGGAAGAUGUAACGGGGCUAAACCAUGCACCGAAGCUGCGGCAGCGACACUAUGUGUUGUUGGGUAGGGGAGCGUUCUGUAAGCCUGCGAAGGUGUGCUGUGAGGCAUGCUGGAGGUAUCAGAAGUGCGAAUGCUGACAUAAGUAACGAUAAAGCGGGUGAAAAGCCCGCUCGCCGGAAGACCAAGGGUUCCUGUCCAACGUUAAUCGGGGCAGGGUGAGUCGACCCCUAAGGCGAGGCCGAAAGGCGUAGUCGAUGGGAAACAGGUUAAUAUUCCUGUACUUGGUGUUACUGCGAAGGGGGGACGGAGAAGGCUAUGUUAGCCGGGCGACGGUUGUCCCGGUUUAAGCAUGUAGGCUGAUUGUCCAGGCAAAUCCGGAUAAUCAAGGCUGAGGUGUGAUGACGAGGCACUACGGUGCUGAAGUAACAAAUGCCCUGCUUCCAGGAAAAGCCUCUAAGCAUCAGGUAACAUCAAAUCGUACCCCAAACCGACACAGGUGGUCAGGUAGAGAAUACCAAGGCGCUUGAGAGAACUCGGGUGAAGGAACUAGGCAAAAUGGUGCCGUAACUUCGGGAGAAGGCACGCUGGUGUGUAGGUGAAGCCCCUGCGGGUGGAGCUGAGACCAGUCGAAGAUACCAGCUGGCUGCAACUGUUUAUUAAAAACACAGCACUGUGCAAACACGAAAGUGGACGUAUACGGUGUGACGCCUGCCCGGUGCCGGAAGGUUAAUUGAUGGGGUUAUCCGUAAGGAGAAGCUCUUGAUCGAAGCCCCGGUAAACGGCGGCCGUAACUAUAACGGUCCUAAGGUAGCGAAAUUCCUUGUCGGGUAAGUUCCGACCUGCACGAAUGGCGUAAUGAUGGCCAGGCUGUCUCCACCCGAGACUCAGUGAAAUUGAACUCGCUGUGAAGAUGCAGUGUACCCGCGGCAAGACGGAAAGACCCCGUGAACCUUUACUAUAGCUUGACACUGAACAUUGAGCCUUGAUGUGUAGGAUAGGUGGGAGGCUUUGAAGCGUGGACGCCAGUCUGCGUGGAGCCAACCUUGAAAUACCACCCUUUAAUGUUUGAUGUUCUAACGUUGGCCCCUUACCGGGGUUGCGGACAGUGUCUGGUGGGUAGUUUGACUGGGGCGGUCUCCUCCCAAAGCGUAACGGAGGAGCACGAAGGUUAGCUAAUCCUGGUCGGACAUCAGGAGGUUAGUGCAAUGGCAUAAGCUAGCUUGACUGCGAGCGUGACGGCGCGAGCAGGUGCGAAAGCAGGUCAUAGUGAUCCGGUGGUUCUGAAUGGAAGGGCCAUCGCUCAACGGAUAAAAGGUACUCCGGGGAUAACAGGCUGAUACCGCCCAAGAGUUCAUAUCGACGGCGGUGUUUGGCACCUCGAUGUCGGCUCAUCACAUCCUGGGGCUGAAGUAGGUCCCAAGGGUAUGGCUGUUCGCCAUUUAAAGUGGUACGCGAGCUGGGUUUAGAACGUCGUGAGACAGUUCGGUCCCUAUCUGCCGUGGGCGCUGGAGAAUUGAGGGGGGCUGCUCCUAGUACGAGAGGACCGGAGUGGACGCAUCACUGGUGUUCGGGUUGUCAUGCCAAUGGCACUGCCCGGUAGCUAAAUGCGGAAGAGAUAAGUGCUGAAAGCAUCUAAGCACGAAACUUGCCCCGAGAUGAGUUCUCCCUGAGACUUUAAGUCUCCUGAAGGAACGUUAAAGACGAUGACGUUGAUAGGCCGGGUGUGUAAGCGCAGCGAUGCGUUGAGCUAACCGGUACUAAUGAACCGUGAGGCUUAACCUUACAACGCCGAAG
RNAcentral lists this ribosomal RNA (2923 nucleotides) under Klebsiella pneumoniae. Its description in RNAcentral is "bacterial LSU rRNA". It matches the Rfam family "Bacterial large subunit ribosomal RNA". Lineage: Bacteria; Pseudomonadati; Pseudomonadota; Gammaproteobacteria; Enterobacterales; Enterobacteriaceae. RNAcentral also lists the same sequence under 1 other name. The record is from RNAcentral.